Molecule: ribosomal RNA, 974 nt
Filed under: Allophoma tropica
Lineage: Eukaryota; Fungi; Ascomycota; Dothideomycetes; Pleosporales; Didymellaceae
Description: SSU rRNA
Rfam family: Eukaryotic small subunit ribosomal RNA
Source: RNAcentral
GCAUUAUACCGUGAAACUGCGAAUGGCUCAUUAAAUCAGUUAUCGUUUAUUUGAUAGUACCUUACUACUUGGAUAACCGUGGUAAUUCUAGAGCUAAUACAUGCUGAAAACCCCGACUUCGGGAGGGGUGUAUUUAUUAGAUAAAAAACCAACGCCCUUCGGGGCUUCUUGGUGAUUCAUGAUAACUUCACGGAUCGCAUGGCCUUGCGCCGGCGACGGUUCAUUCAAAUUUCUGCCCUAUCAACUUUCGAUGGUAAGGUAUUGGCUUACCAUGGUUUCAACGGGUAACGGGGAAUUAGGGUUCGAUUCCGGAGAGGGAGCCUGAGAAACGGCUACCACAUCCAAGGAAGGCAGCAGGCGCGCAAAUUACCCAAUCCCGACACGGGGAGGUAGUGACAAUAAAUACUGAUACAGGGCUCUUUUGGGUCUUGUAAUUGGAAUGAGUACAAUUUAAACCUCUUAACGAGGAACAAUUGGAGGGCAAGUCUGGUGCCAGCAGCCGCGGUAAUUCCAGCUCCAAUAGCGUAUAUUAAAGUUGUUGCAGUUAAAAAGCUCGUAGUUGAAACUUGGGCCUGGCUGGCAGGUCCGCCUCACCGCGUGUACUUGUCCGGCCGGGCCUUUCCUUCUGGAGAACCUCAUGCCCUUCACUGGGUGUGCUGGGGAACCAGGACUUUUACUUUGAAAAAAUUAGAGUGUUCAAAGCAGGCCUUUGCUCGAAUACGUUAGCAUGGAAUAAUAGAAUAGGACGUGCGGUCCUAUUUUGUUGGUUUCUAGGACCGCCGUAAUGAUUAAUAGGGACAGUCGGGGGCAUCAGUAUUCAAUUGUCAGAGGUGAAAUUCUUGGAUUUAUUGAAGACUAACUACUGCGAAAGCAUUUGCCAAGGAUGUUUUCAUUAAUCAGUGAACGAAGUUAGGGGAUCGAAGACGAUCAGAUACCGUCGUAGUCUUAACCGUAAACUAUGCCGACUAGGGAAU